This 253-nucleotide ribosomal RNA is filed under the name uncultured bacterium. RNAcentral describes it as "partial 16S ribosomal RNA". It matches the Rfam family "Bacterial small subunit ribosomal RNA", at positions 524 to 776 of the family's 1533-position model. The record is from RNAcentral.
UACGUAGGUGACAAGCGUUGUCCGGAUUUACUGGGCGUAAAGAGCGCGCAGGCGGUCGAUCAAGUCGAGUGUGAAAGCCCCCGGCUCAACUGGGGAGGGUCAUUCGAUACUGAUCGACUCGAAGGCAGGAGAGGGUAGUGGAAUUCCCGGUGUAGUGGUGAAAUGCGUAGAUAUCGGGAGGAACACCAGUGGCGAAGGCGACUACCCGGCCUGUUCUUGACGCUGAGGCGCGAAAGCUAGGGGAGCAAACGGG